This 242-nucleotide ribosomal RNA is filed under the name uncultured bacterium. RNAcentral describes it as "partial 16S ribosomal RNA". It matches the Rfam family "Bacterial small subunit ribosomal RNA", at positions 64 to 334 of the family's 1533-position model. The record is from RNAcentral.
GCACGGACCUUUUGGGGUGAGUGGCGGACGGGUGAGUAACGCGUAGGGAUUUAUCCAUAGUGGGGGAUAACACUGGGAAACUGGUGCUAAUACCGCAUGACACCUGAGGGUCAAGGCGCGAGUCGCCUAUGGAGGAGCCUGCGUUCGAUUAGCUAGUUGGUUGGGUAAAGGCUGACCAAGGCGAUGAUCGAUAGCUGGUCUGAGAGGAUGAUCAGCCACACUGGGACUGAGACACGGCCCAG